UUCUGCCACGUACAGCGUUCGUUGCUGGCCCUGUCCUUUUUUUUGUGCCCAGUGGUUGUCGCUAGUAAAAAAGCCGCCAAGAAUUUUCAGCUGUGCACUCAGUCGCCGUUUUGUUGCCGGUCAGGACAGAAGGAAGCAUUGCAUCACUCCGAUCAGUUUCUGUUAACAGGACGCAGGCCACCUUCAACGCACGGGCAGCGAGACACUGCAGCCGAGACUCAAAUCCCGGGCAAUCCUUCCCGCCACCGCAAGCUUCAGCAAUGUUGGACAGGAGUGUAGACGCACUGUGCACAAUCUUCUACGUCAUUCCGUUUGAAGAACUGUAUGCCUUAGACACCCUUAAUUAUCCGUGGCUUCAGAGGAUCACCGGGAUGAGUCUGGUGCCGGCUGUCGAAUGCAUCAGCGCGAGCAUCAAAGCCGUGGAGAACCCCACGGUGCGUCUCAGGUGCGUCGCCUUGCUGUACUCCUGGCUCAUACCACGACACGUGUACCACACGUGGAUCCUUUAUCGCCUCAACGAGUCGUUGCAGGCGCAGGACCUCGCAAAAGUUAUUUGUAUGCUGCAAAGGGCGGUGCAGAAUUCUUGCGAUGGCGUGGGAAGCGGAAUCGACAUCGGAACUGCCGUGUGCAUCACCGUUCUGUUGGCCGACGAGGGGUGCUCCUCGUUCGAGUACACUCCGGCGUGCUUUUGCGUGUGGCGAGGUCUGCCCUUUGUGGCCGUCCACGCCUCGGAGGCGACUGUUGGUCGAUCCAGGUACUGGGCCGCCCUCGCCAAAGUGAUCGGGGAUCUCCAUGACUGGCAUCGCGGAGUUUACGCUAACCUGAGCUCCGCGUAUGCAGAGGCGGUCAGAAACCGCGCAGCCCCUGUGAAGGUCGGAAAAAUUCAGCAUGAAGAACUGCACUGUGAAACCCCUGACCAAGCGGGUACCAUGGCACAAAGGGCAGCUAUCUUCUUUGAUUUUUUGUAAAUAAAUAAUAGGGGCCGAAAA
Dermacentor albipictus is the source of this 989-nucleotide long non-coding RNA. RefSeq lists it as uncharacterized. The record is from RefSeq and is a predicted model, not a curated record. NCBI's taxonomy places the organism in Eukaryota, Metazoa, Arthropoda, Arachnida, Ixodida, Ixodidae.